Molecule: transfer RNA, 72 nt
Filed under: Camelus bactrianus (Bactrian camel)
Lineage: Eukaryota; Metazoa; Chordata; Mammalia; Artiodactyla; Camelidae
Also listed under: 2 other names
Rfam family: tRNA
About the family: Transfer RNA (tRNA) molecules are approximately 80 nucleotides in length. Their secondary structure includes four short double-helical elements and three loops (D, anti-codon, and T loops).
Source: Rfam by way of RNAcentral
GAGGGUACAGCUCAGUGGCAGAGUGUGUGCUUAGCAUGCGUGAGCUCCUGGGUUCAAGUCCCAGUGCUUCCA